UGAAUACGAGAUGCUACGGCGUCGAAGCAGUCUAUGUCAUACUUCCAAGAAAAGCUCGCACUGUCAUAAACAAAUAAUGCCUGUACCAUAACCGACACAGGUGGGUAGGUAGAGUAUACUAAGGGGCGCGAGAUAACUCUCUCUAAGGAACUCGGCAAAAUGACUCCGUAACUUCGGGAGAAGGAGUGCCUUAUUUAUAAGGUUGCAAUAACAAGAUCCAAGCAACUGUUUAUCAAAAACACAGGUCUCCGCUAAGUCGUAAGACGAUGUAUGGGGGCUGACGCCUGCCCAGUGCCAGAAGGUUAAAGAAGUUGGUUAGCAUUCGCGAAGCUGAUAACUGAAGCCCUGGUGAACGGCGGCCGUAACAAUAACGGUCCUAAGGUAGCGAAAUUCCUUGUCGGGUAAGUUCCGACCCGCACGAAAGGCGUAAUGAUUUGGAUACUGUCUCGGAGAGGGGCUCGGUGAAAUAGACUUGUCUGUGAAGAUGCGGACUACCUGCACCAGGACAGAAAGACCCUAUGAAGCUUUACUGUAACUUGAGAUUGAAAUUGGACUUUACUUGCGCAGUAUAGGUGGGAGGCGUUGAUAAUAUUCUUGCGGGAUUAUUUGAGCCAUCAGUGAGAUACCACUCUUGUAAUGUUAGAUUUCUAACUUUGUAUCAUUAUCUGGUCAAAGGACAGUUUCAGGCGGGCAGUUUGACUGGGGCGGUCGCCUCCUAAACGGUAACGGAGGCGCACAAAGGUUUCCUCUGAACGGGUAGAAAUCGUAUCUAGAGUGUAAAGGCAUAAGGAAGCUUGACUGUGAGACCUACAAGUCGAGCAGGGACGAAAGUCGGUCUUAGUGAUCUGACGGUGCUGAGUGGAAAGGCCGUCACUCAACGGAUAAAAGUUACUCUAUGGAUAACAGGCUGAUCUCCCCCAAGAGUUCACAUCGACGGGGAGGUUUGGCACCUCGAUGUCGGCUCAUCGCAUCCUGGGGCGGUAGUACGUCCCAAGGGUUGGGCUGUUCGCCCAUGAAAGCGGUACGCGAGCUGGGUUCAGAACGUCGUGAGACAGUUCGGUCCAUAUCCGGUGUAGGCGUUAGAAUAUUGAGAGGAGCCUUCUUUAGUACGAGAGGACCGAGAAGGACAUACCUCUGGUGUACCAGUUAUCGUGCCAACGGUAAACGCUGGGUAGCUAUGUAUGGAGUGGAUAACCGCUGAAAGCAUCUAAGUGGGAAGCCCACCUCAAGAUAAGUAUUCUCGU
This 1244-nucleotide ribosomal RNA is filed under the name metagenome. RNAcentral describes it as "bacterial LSU rRNA". It matches the Rfam family "Bacterial large subunit ribosomal RNA", at positions 1564 to 2817 of the family's 2925-position model. The record is from RNAcentral.